GAGGGUAUAGCUCAAGCGGUAGAGUGUGUGCUUAGUAUGUAUAAAGUCCUGCGUUCAAUCCCCAGUACCUCCU
This 73-nucleotide transfer RNA is filed under the name Camelus bactrianus (Bactrian camel). It matches the Rfam family "tRNA". From Rfam's summary of the family: Transfer RNA (tRNA) molecules are approximately 80 nucleotides in length. Their secondary structure includes four short double-helical elements and three loops (D, anti-codon, and T loops). Lineage: Eukaryota; Metazoa; Chordata; Mammalia; Artiodactyla; Camelidae. RNAcentral also lists the same sequence under 2 other names. The record is from Rfam by way of RNAcentral.